Molecule: ribosomal RNA, 274 nt
Filed under: uncultured Pseudomonadota bacterium
Lineage: Bacteria; Pseudomonadati; Pseudomonadota
Description: uncultured proteobacterium partial 16S ribosomal RNA
Rfam family: Bacterial small subunit ribosomal RNA
Source: RNAcentral
GGCCCACGGGUGAGUAACGCGUGGGUAACCUACCCCCCGGCGGGGGAUAACCACUCGAAAGGGUGGCUAAUACCGCAUGAGACCACGGGAUCUUCGGAUCCUGAGGCUAAAGAUUGCACCGGCUUGCCGGUGCCGUCACCAGGGGAUGGGCCCGCNUCCAAUUAGCUAGUUGGCGAGGUAAUGGCUCACCAAGGCUACAAUCGGUAGCUGGUCUGAGAGGAUGAUCANCCACACUGGAACUGAAACACGGUCNAAACUCCUACGGGAGGCAGCA